Molecule: ribosomal RNA, 497 nt
Filed under: uncultured bacterium
Lineage: Bacteria
Description: partial 16S ribosomal RNA
Rfam family: Bacterial small subunit ribosomal RNA
Source: RNAcentral
GAUGAACGCUGGCGGCGUGCCUAAUACAUGCAAGUCGAGCGAACAGACGAGGAGCUUGCUCCUCUGACGUUAGCGGCGGACGGGUGAGUAACACGUGGAUAACCUACCUAUAAGACUGGGAUAACUUCGGGAAACCGGAGCUAAUACCGGAUAAUAUAUUGAACCGCAUGGUUCAAUAGUGAAAGACGGUUUUGCUGUCACUUAUAGAUGGAUCCGCGCCGCAUUAGCUAGUUGGUAAGGUAACGGCUUACCAAGGCAACGAUGCGUAGCCGACCUGAGAGGGCGAUGGCCCACAGUGGAACUGAGACAGGGUCCAGACCCCUCCGGGAGGAAGCAGUGGGGAAUCUCCGGCAAGGGGCGAAAGCCUGACGGAGCACCGCCGCGUGAGUGAUAAAGGUUUGGGAAUCGAAAAACUAAGUUAUGGGGAAAAAAAAAAUGUGAAAGAACCUAGGCACGUCUGGAGGGUACCUAAUAAGAAAGCCAGGGCAAACUCCGUG